Capsicum annuum is the source of this 2820-nucleotide RNA transcript. It is a transcript of the gene named cleavage and polyadenylation specificity factor subunit 3-I, with no coding region annotated. The record is from RefSeq and is a predicted model, not a curated record. The transcript is spliced from 3 exons. Lineage: Eukaryota; Viridiplantae; Streptophyta; Magnoliopsida; Solanales; Solanaceae.
AUAUUGUAGUUUAUUUUCAGCUUCAUAGACCCUCAAGUCUCUUCAGUAAUUCUAUCCUUCUCUUUUGUUUCAUCUGAAAAUUCUUCUGUUUCAAAUUCUAGAUGUUGGUGUUAGCAUUUGGGUAAUUUUGGUAGAAAUUUCUUCUGGGUACUGCAUUCCGUACCCCCUAGGCCUAAAACUGGAAAGAGAAGCUUAAAUGUUCUCAUUUUAUGCUCAGAUUCAGAGUUCUCCAUCCCCCCAAACCCCCAAAUCCCCCUAUAUUUUUUGCACUUGUGGCUCAUGUCUCUCCUCAAAAUAAUAGGCUGGUUUUUCCAUCCACCUACUUUUUGUUGGUGCUGGUGAGGUAGUAGGUAGCUCGUGAAGUUAUUGGGGUGACUCGUAUGCAGUCUUACCAUAAAUCCUUGUGGUUCGGUCAUUUUCCAGACUUUGCGUGUGUUGAGAGCUUUAGUGCACUGGGUUGUCCUUUUUUGCUAAUAUAGAAGUGCCAUGGGGAAGCUGCUGGAGGUUGUCCUGCCAGCUUCCUCACAAGGGCAUUUCUGUCAUUUAAAUGGAGGGCUAAAUUAGUCUUUUUAAUUGUUAUCAUUUGAGUAAUCAUGUAUGUGUUAGUUGAUUAUUUCAACGUGUCAUUUGAAUGGGAAAAUAUUUUAAUGUCUGUUGGCAAAGAUUUCUCUGUUGGCAUCUUUGUAUCUUAACCUCAAAGCUUCGGCUAUUCUUUCUACAGUGCUGCCAGGUAUUCUUCAGUAAAUUCUUAACAAAUUGGAGGUGAUUCAAAACAAUGCGACAUUGAACAUAAGGUGGGAAAGUUCAUCUUAUGUGCUGACUUAUUACACAUGAUUUAGAGCACUCCCUCCAUUUUAUUUCGUGUGAACUUAUUUACCUAGCCGGAGUUUGUGAAAGAAAGAAAAACAUACUCUCGAAGUUGUGAUCUUACCUAUGACAUGACAUUUUUAUGUCCAUUAAAUCAUGUUAGCAAGGGUAAAAUGAGAGUUUUAAAGUUAAAUUGUUCUUAAAUAUAGAAAAGGGUCAUACUUCCGGUGUACAUAAAAGGAAACAAGGACUGCUAAAUAAUAUAUCCUUUUGGUGUCAUUUGGUUUGUAAACAAGUAUACUGGGAUUAUAAUGUUGCGAUUAGCCGAUUAUAAUGUGAGGAUUAAAUAAUGAUGGGGUUCUUUAGUGAAUAUAUUUUUAGUCAUAGGUGGUUGGAUCAACUUGGAUAAACUUUUACUUCCAAUUUUAAUCUUCAUUUUCUUUGUACUUUUGGGUAAAGUUUUGGAGAUGGGCAAAUGUGUCCAUUUGUUGUUUCAUCCCGGUAUUGUUACUAAUUUCGGGAUGUUAUUCCACGUAGACUGUGGUAUCAAAUAAUACCAUACUUGUAGUAUAAACAAUCCCGAAACAAAAAGUUCUACUAACUGUGGGGUAAACUGAUUCCAGAUUCUAUCUCGGACUGUAAUCGCUUAUCCUUGUGCCCAAACAAUCCUUUAAGAUUUUCAGUUGAUAGUUUAGGAGUAGUUUAAAAGGUGGCAUAACAAGAUGUUUAUUUUCUGGUUUGAUCUGGUUUCUUGGAUAUGGCUGAUCAUUGUUUCUCGUGCAUACAUCAUUGGGUUGUUAGAGGGUAGUUAUGACCAUUGCAUUUUACACACUAUUCUUGCUUUCAUGUUUGCUGAUGCAGUAGUCACCAACUUCAACGUGUCAUUUGAAUGGGAAAAUAUUUUAAUGUCUGUUGGCAAAGAUGUGUUGGCAUCCUCAAAGCUUUGGCUGAAACGAUUUUCUGCUUGCAAGGUUGAUUUCAUCGUUCUUACUUUUAUGUCCGAAAUUUUAUUGAAAUAGCUGGACAAUAUGAUAGCAAAGUAAAUGUUAUCUUUACUGUUUCCUUGUUGGAAUGGAUGGUUCAAGCUUCUGCGUAAUAUAAUUGGAUGGAUUAUCGUAAUAGUUAACUUCGCGUUGCUAAUUUUUCUCCCAGGACAGCAUAGCCCGGCAGCUUCUUUCGCUGCACAGUGAAUUCCCCUCCUUAACUGAACACUUUGCAAUCGGCUGUGAAGUGUUCUGAAGUAUUAAAAUUGUGUAUUGAUAGUUUUAGUCCAAUGUUUAAGUUUUGCUAAUUGAUUUUCCAUUCAGGUUGGUUACAGACAAUAUUGUGAAUCAAGAUUCUUUAAACUCAUUGGAAAGGCAACUAUAUUCAAUGAAGAAAAUAAAGAGUAUGCAUUAAACAGAUGCAAAGAAAUUUGGGUUCAGAGAUAUCCAACUGAGCCUUUUGAGAAUGAAUCUGAUGACUUCAAUUUGCAGAACUCAGUUUCCACAUUUCAUGAAUAUCUGCUGAAAGAAGUAUCCAAACAAAGACAUUUAUACACAAUUUUCUGAGCCCUUUUAUCCAGAAAUUGUGUAUUUAAUAGCAGCUCGACGUUUUGGUCCCUGCUUCAGAUAUUCUUCUAAUGUGGAUCACUCAUCAAGUUUUCAUAUGUGACUGGGACAUCAAUUAUCGGCAUCAAGUAGAAGGAUGCUAUUCUCUUGGCUGCUGAAUGGACCUUUCUACUUUGGUGCUGGGGGGUUCAAAUGAAGGUGGCAUUCUUUAGUUGAGGCAAAACAAUGCUCAGUGAAAUGCUUCAAUGUCUUUUACUUGCUGCAUUAGGAUUUUGAUAAAUUUCAAGUUAGAGUAACUAGGAUCGUUGGUGCCUAUCUACUGUAAAAUUUUAUAUUUUUAUAGUAUAUUCUGAUUAUUGGUCAAAAUGGGAAGAAAUGAACUGAAGAAGGUAGUGCCCGAGAAUGCGUAUUUAGAAAAUUAGUACUGAUUGAAUUUUCAUUAAUAAAGAAAGAUAAACUUUAA